RNAcentral lists this long non-coding RNA (1953 nucleotides) under Monodelphis domestica (gray short-tailed opossum). RNAcentral's name for it is "lncRNA (ENSMODG00000031524.2)". The record is from RNAcentral. Lineage: Eukaryota; Metazoa; Chordata; Mammalia; Didelphimorphia; Didelphidae.
GAAUGGAUCUUCUACCCACAAGGAAUCCAGUACCAACACUAUUUUCGAGUCUGUCCAAAAGAUGUCAUUCAACGCAGAGAAAGUCUCUGCAGUGAGGAAGCCAAAAAUUGAAUUAUUUGGUCCGAUGGGCAAAAAAACCCCAGGCCCCAGAGAAGAUGUGGAGGCCCAGGCCCCUGUUAUCCUAGAGGGUGGAGUGCCUAAAGGUCUUUUUGCAACUUGGCAGAAAGAAGAAUGGAGGCGGAAUACAUUAAAGAAGUCAUGCCGUAAAGUGGACCUGCCAUGGUCCCACAGAGAUUCAGAAACCCAGAGAUAUGGCUGUUCAUCCUCGGUGGCUCCCACUGUGAGGGAUGCUCAAGCUGGCCUGCCCCAAAAGCCUGGUCAAACUCCUCAAAACCCCAAGUCCAUGAUGUUCAUCAUGAACCCAGUCCGCCCCAAGUCCAAGUCUAAGAAGGAGGCCUCAGGUAACAGUUGUUCACAAGAAGCAGCUGGCAAGGGGUCCCAAGAGAAGCCCUCAGGUAACAAGAGCAGCAGUAGUAACCUGAACUUCAGAGAACCGGUCAACCUCGAGAACCCCUUUGGGGUCCAACUGAAAAGGACCAAUUCUUCCCUGAAGUCUGUUAGAGAGAAUCCAGAGUCUUCUCAACUGCCUUCUUUGAUGAAGGAGGAUCCCAAAGCACAAAGGGCUAAGAAGUAUGGAGAGAUGCCCUCAGUCUUCUCCAAGAAUUUGGACUUGAUGAAAGAGAUUCUUCUCAGCCUCACGUUGGAUAAUGAAGACAGACAAUCCCAGGCUGACACACCUUUCGGAAAGACCUUUGCUGCAGAAAGCAGCCCUGACCUGCCUGAGCCUGUGUGUGUCACCAUGGCCCAUCAGAAGCAGAAGAACUUCCAGGAGCAUCCUUUUCCCCAAAGUCUUCACUCCAGGAAAGGAGAUGGAGCUAAUACAUCCAUAUUUGACAUCGAUGAGUGAUUCCAGAUGGAGAUCAGGAGACAUCUUGGGUGCCUGAAGCUGGAAAAGGAGAGCCCCUUCAGCUGCCUCAGUUAUAUCCCACGGCUCCACCCAGCCACCCCUCUUUCACCCUGGUCAAGAAGAAAGCCAAGAUAUGAAAGAAGAUGCCACAGAUAGUUCAGUAAUUUCACAGCUAAGCCUUUUGGACAAGAAUUACCAAUAGCUUUAUAGUUGUUUCAUGUAGCAAUUUCUUUAUUUUACCAUAUUAUUAUUACCAUAUUAUUAUUAUUUUUAUUACCAUAUUGUGAUGAUAUGAUAUGAUAAAAUUACCAUAUUAUUAUCAUCAUUAUUCAUAGUGUUAACAGUAGUUUAUUAGCAUUGUUGUUAGUGUUAUUGAUAGAAUUAGCAAUAGUGGUAGAGGUGAUAGGAUAUUAAGUAAGACGAAGGCCUGGGGAUCAGUGGCAUGCCAGUUGUCCAAGAGCUAGUCUAGCACCGAGUUCAGACAUUCCUGUCUCAAGGUGACAACAGCCUGUGUCAUCAUCAGUGUUACCAUUUCAGCCAUAGCAUCUCCCAAAGACCAUUCAUAGAAGAGAGGCCGCCAUUUUCACUGAUGAAGGGCAUGUCCACCCUUGGAAUUAUUAUCAAUCCCUGCGGCUUUGAAGCCUUAGAAAGGAGAACUCACCUUAAAACACUUAUUUGAAAGCCAUGAUAGCCAAGGACUGCUGAACCGCCACCCCUGACAGCCAGUUGUCAAUAUCAGCAGCCAUAAUCACCAGAAAGAAUAGAAAAGCUAGACCCAUGCAGACCCACCACCAUCAUUUGCCUCCAGACAGCCAUGCACUAGAAUUCCUUUAAGGAAGCUAUGAAAGCUUUGCUUUCCUUGAUGAGCAGUAGUAUCUCUCGCAGUUCAGCCCAUCUACCUUGGCUCUGCUUGGAGGCCUUAGUCUGUAGGCCCAUUGCAGAUCUCUGGCAAUAAAGGGCUCUGGGAAAAGCUCUUAGAAAGUAUU